RNAcentral lists this ribosomal RNA (430 nucleotides) under uncultured Pseudomonadota bacterium. RNAcentral describes it as "bacterial SSU rRNA". It matches the Rfam family "Bacterial small subunit ribosomal RNA", at positions 1 to 433 of the family's 1533-position model. Lineage: Bacteria; Pseudomonadati; Pseudomonadota. The record is from RNAcentral.
UAGAGUUUGAUCCUGGCUCAGGAUGAACGCUAGCGGCAGGCCUAAUACAUGCAAGUCGAACGGUAAGUUUUGUAGCAAUACGAAACCAAGAGUGACGUACGGGUGCGUAACACGUAUGCAACCUACCCAUAACAGGAGGAUAGCUCCCCGAAAGGGGAAUUAACCCUUCAUAGUAUAGUUGAAUGGCAUCAUUUGACUAUUAAAACUCCGGUGGUUAUGGAUGGGCAUGCGUCUGAUUAGUUAGUUGGCGGUGUAAUGGACCACCAAGACGAUGAUCAGUAGGGGAACUGAGAGGUUGAUCCCCCACACUGGCACUGAGAUACGGGCCAGACUCCUACGGGAGGCAGCAGUAGGGAAUAUUGGUCAAUGGAUGCAAGUCUGAACCAGCCAUGCCGCGUGCAGGAAGAAGGCCCUAUGGGUUGUAAACUGC